This 118-nucleotide ribosomal RNA is filed under the name Metroxylon salomonense. RNAcentral's name for it is "partial 18S ribosomal RNA". It matches the Rfam family "Eukaryotic small subunit ribosomal RNA", at positions 1714 to 1831 of the family's 1831-position model. The record is from RNAcentral. Lineage: Eukaryota; Viridiplantae; Streptophyta; Magnoliopsida; Arecales; Arecaceae.
AUUGCAGCGACGCGAGCGGUUCGCCGCCUGCGACGUCGCGAGAAGUCCAUUGAACCUUAUCAUUAGAGGAAGAAGUCGAAACAAGCUUUUCAUAGGUGAACCUGCGGAAGGAUCAUUA